This is a long non-coding RNA of Melozone crissalis (California towhee), 211 nucleotides long. RefSeq lists it as uncharacterized. The transcript has 3 exons. The record is from RefSeq and is a predicted model, not a curated record. NCBI's taxonomy places the organism in Eukaryota, Metazoa, Chordata, Aves, Passeriformes, Passerellidae.
GCACACCUGGAAUGGUGAUGUCCAUAUACACUUUGCUAAGAAACCACCCAGAACCAACUUCAGAGCAGAUGAUUGCAGCUCUGGCUGGGAACUUGUGCCGCUGUACUGGAUACAGGCCAAUCUUAGAUGCCUGUAAAACCUUCUGUAAGGAAUCCAUUUGUUGUCAAAGAAAAGCAAAUGGAAAAUGUUGCUUGGAUCAGGAAGAUAAUUU